GGAAUUGUUCGCAAUGGGCGCAAGCCUGACGACGCAACGCCGCGUGGAGGAUGAAGAUCUUCGGGUCGUAAACUCCUGUCGAGCGGGAAGAACGUUUCGUGGAUGAAUAAGCCGCGAAAGUGACGGUACCGCUAAAGGAAGCCCCGGCUAACUCCGUGCCAGCAGCCGCGGUAAUACGGGGGGGGCAAGCGUUGUUCGGAAUUACUGGGCGUAAAGGGCUCGUAGGUGGCCAACUAAGUCAGACGUGAAAUCCCCAGGCUUAACCUGGGAACUGCGUCUGAUACUGGAUGGCUUGGAUCCGGGAGAGGGAUGCGGAAUUCCAGGUGUAGCGGUGAAAUGCGUAGAUAUCUGGAGGAACACCGGUGGCGAAGGCGGCAUCCUGGACCGGUAUUGACGCUGAGGAGCGAAAGCCAGGGGAGCAAA
Molecule: ribosomal RNA, 423 nt
Filed under: uncultured bacterium
Lineage: Bacteria
Description: bacterial SSU rRNA
Rfam family: Bacterial small subunit ribosomal RNA
Source: RNAcentral